RNAcentral lists this ribosomal RNA (253 nucleotides) under uncultured bacterium. RNAcentral's name for it is "partial 16S ribosomal RNA". It matches the Rfam family "Bacterial small subunit ribosomal RNA", at positions 524 to 776 of the family's 1533-position model. The record is from RNAcentral.
UACAGAGGUCCCGAGCGUUGUUCGGAUUUAUUGGGCGUAAAGGGUGCGUAGGCGGCGGAGUAAGUUGGGUGUGAAAUCCCGGGGCUUAACCUCGGAAUGGCAUUCAAUACUGCUUCGCUCGAGUACUGGAGAGGAGGCUGGAAUUUACGGUGUAGCAGUGAAAUGCGCAGAUAUCAGGAGGAACACCGGUGGCGAAGGCGGGUCUCUGGGCCGAUACUGACGCUGAGGAGCGAAAGCGUGGGGAGCGAACAGG